CCAGACUCCUACGGGAGGCAGUAGUGGGGAAUAUUGCACAAUGGGGGAAACCCUGAUGCAGCGACGCCGCGUGAGUGAAGAAGUAUUUCGGUAUGUAAAGCUCUAUCAGCAGGGAAGAAGAUGACGGUACCUGACUAAGAAGCCCCGGCUAACUACGUGCCAGCAGCCGCGGUAAUACGUAGGGGGCAAGCGUUAUCCGGAUUUACUGGGUGUAAAGGGAGCGUAGACGGCGAUGCAAGCCAGAUGUGAAAGCCCGGGGCUCAACCCCGGGACUGCAUUUGGAACUGUGUGGCUGGAGUGUCGGAGAGGCAGGCGGAAUUCCUAGUGUAGCGGUGAAAUGCAUAGAUAUCACGCAGAACUCCGAUUGCGAAGGCAGCGCACCGGCGCCCUACUGACGCUCAGGCACGAAGGCGUGGGUAUCGAACAGGAUUAGAUACCCUAGUA
This 444-nucleotide ribosomal RNA is filed under the name uncultured bacterium. Its description in RNAcentral is "partial 16S ribosomal RNA". It matches the Rfam family "Bacterial small subunit ribosomal RNA", at positions 331 to 792 of the family's 1533-position model. The record is from RNAcentral.